This 169-nucleotide ribosomal RNA is filed under the name uncultured bacterium. RNAcentral describes it as "partial 16S ribosomal RNA". It matches the Rfam family "Bacterial small subunit ribosomal RNA", at positions 338 to 524 of the family's 1533-position model. The record is from RNAcentral.
CCUACGGGAGGCAGCAGCAAGGAAUUUUCGGCAAUGGGCGCAAGCCUGACCGAGCAACGCCGCGUGGAGGAUGACGGCCUUCGGGUUGUAAACUCCUUUUGCGGGGGAUGAUGAUGACCGUACCCCGCGAAUCAGGCUCGGCUAACUCUGUGCCAGCAGCCGCGGUAAU